Molecule: ribosomal RNA, 510 nt
Filed under: Nakaseomyces glabratus
Lineage: Eukaryota; Fungi; Ascomycota; Saccharomycetes; Saccharomycetales; Saccharomycetaceae
Description: eukaryotic LSU rRNA
Rfam family: Eukaryotic large subunit ribosomal RNA
Source: RNAcentral
UGUAAUUUGGAGAGUACCACUUUGGGACUGUACUUUGCCUAUGUUCCUUGGAACAGGACGUCAUGGAGGGUGAGAAUCCCGUGUGGCGAGGGUGUCAGUUCUUUGUAAAGGGUGCUCGAAGAGUCGAGUUGUUUGGGAAUGCAGCUCUAAGUGGGUGGUAAAUUCCAUCUAAAGCUAAAUACAGGCGAGAGACCGAUAGCGAACAAGUACAGUGAUGGAAAGAUGAAAAGAACUUUGAAAAGAGAGUGAAAAAGUACGUGAAAUUGUUGAAAGGGAAGGGCAUUUGAUCAGACAUGGUGUUUUGCGCCCCUUGCCUCUCGUGGGCUUGGGACUCUCGCAGCUCACUGGGCCAGCAUCGGUUUUGGCGGCCGGAAAAAACCUAGGGAAUGUGGCUCUGCGCCUCGGUGUAGAGUGUUAUAGCCCUGGGGAAUACGGCCAGCCGGGACCGAGGACUGCGAUACUUGUUAUCUAGGAUGCUGGCAUAAUGGGUUAUAUGCCGGCCCGUCUUGA